UACGUAGGUCCCGAGCGUUGUCCGGAUUUAUUGGGCGUAAAGCGAGCGCAGGUGGUUUAUUAAGUCUGGUGUAAAAGGCAGUGGCUCAACCAUUGUAUGCAUUGGAAACUGGUAGACUUGAGUGCAGGAGAGGAGAGUGGAAUUCCAUGUGUAGCGGUGAAAUGCGUAGAUAUAUGGAGGAACACCGGUGGCGAAAGCGGCUCUCUGGCCUGUAACUGACACUGAGGCUCGAAAGCGUGCGGAGCAAACAGG
This 252-nucleotide ribosomal RNA is filed under the name uncultured bacterium. Its description in RNAcentral is "partial 16S ribosomal RNA". It matches the Rfam family "Bacterial small subunit ribosomal RNA", at positions 524 to 776 of the family's 1533-position model. The record is from RNAcentral.